UACGGAGGAUGCAAGCGUUAUCCGGAAUGAUUGGGCGUAAAGCGUCCGCAGGUGGCAAUGUAAGUCUGCUGUGAAAGAGUCUAGCUCAACUAGAUAAAAGCAGUGGAAACUACAUAGCUAGAGUACGUUCGGGGCAGAGGGAAUUCCUGGUGUAGCGGUGAAAUGCGUAGAGAUCAGGAAGAACACCGGUGGCGAAGGCGCUCUGCUAGGCCGUAACUGACACUGAGGGACGAAAGCUAGGGGAGCGAAUGGG
Molecule: ribosomal RNA, 253 nt
Filed under: uncultured bacterium
Lineage: Bacteria
Description: partial 16S ribosomal RNA
Rfam family: Bacterial small subunit ribosomal RNA
Source: RNAcentral